GUCUUCCUGUGGCUCAGUGGUUAGAGCAUCCGACCGAUGUGCGGAAAGUCAUAGGUUCGACUCCCAUCAGGGACU
Molecule: non-coding RNA, 75 nt
Organism: Desmophyllum pertusum
Lineage: Eukaryota; Metazoa; Cnidaria; Anthozoa; Scleractinia; Caryophylliidae
Source: the annotation of a GenBank genome assembly